RNAcentral lists this ribosomal RNA (380 nucleotides) under uncultured organism. RNAcentral describes it as "partial 16S ribosomal RNA". It matches the Rfam family "Bacterial small subunit ribosomal RNA", at positions 527 to 896 of the family's 1533-position model. The record is from RNAcentral.
GUAGGUGGCAAGCGUUGUCCGGAAUUAUUGGGCGUAAAGCGCGCGCAGGCGGUUCUUUAAGUCUGAUGUGAAACGCCCACGGCUCAACCGUGGAGGGUCAUUGGAAACUGGAGAACUUGAGUACAGAAGAGGAAAGCGGAAUUCCACGUGUAGCGGUGAAAUGCGUAGAGAUGUGGAGGAACACCAGUGGCGAAGGCGGCUUUCUGGUCUGUAACUGACGCUGAGGCGCGAAAGCGUGGGGAGCAAACAGGGAUUAGAUACCCUGGUAGUCCACGCCGUAAACGAUGAGUGCUAAGUGUUAGGGGGGGUUUCCCGGUCCCCCGUUAGUGCUGCAGCUAACGCAUUAAGCACUCCGCCUGGGGAGUACGGCCGCAAGGCUG